RNAcentral lists this transfer RNA (81 nucleotides) under Sphaerobolus stellatus SS14. It matches the Rfam family "tRNA". Rfam says of the family: Transfer RNA (tRNA) molecules are approximately 80 nucleotides in length. Their secondary structure includes four short double-helical elements and three loops (D, anti-codon, and T loops). Further hydrogen bonds mediate the characteristic L-shaped molecular structure. tRNAs have two regions of fundamental functional importance: the anti-codon, which is responsible for specific mRNA codon recognition, and the 3' end, to which the tRNAs corresponding amino acid is attached (by aminoacyl-tRNA synthetases). tRNAs cope with the degeneracy of the genetic code in two manners: having more than one tRNA (with a specific anti-codon) for a particular amino acid; and 'wobble' base-pairing, i.e. permitting non-standard base-pairing at the 3rd anti-codon position. The record is from Rfam by way of RNAcentral. Lineage: Eukaryota; Fungi; Basidiomycota; Agaricomycetes; Geastrales; Sphaerobolaceae.
GGGCAUUUAGUUUAGGGGUAUAAUAUUCGCUUCGCAUUAUGUGAUUGCGAAAGGUCCUGGGUUCAAUUCCCAGAAUGUCCA